UACAGAGGGUGCAAGCGUUAAUCGGAAUUACUGGGCGUAAAGCGUGCGUAGACGGUUGCGUAAGUCAGAAUGUGAAAGCCCCGGGCUCAACCUGGGAAUUGCAUUUGAGACUGCGUAGCUAGGGUGCGGAAGAGGGAAGCGGAAUUUCCGGUGUAGCGGUGAAAUGCGUAGAGUAUCAGGAGGAAUACCGAUGGCGAAGGCAGGUCUCUGGGCUGACACUGACGCUCAUGCACGAAAGCGUGGGGAGCAAACAGG
RNAcentral lists this ribosomal RNA (255 nucleotides) under uncultured bacterium. RNAcentral's name for it is "partial 16S ribosomal RNA". It matches the Rfam family "Bacterial small subunit ribosomal RNA", at positions 524 to 776 of the family's 1533-position model. The record is from RNAcentral.